Molecule: ribosomal RNA, 480 nt
Filed under: uncultured bacterium
Lineage: Bacteria
Description: bacterial SSU rRNA
Rfam family: Bacterial small subunit ribosomal RNA
Source: RNAcentral
AUGAACGCUAGCGGCAGGCUUAACACAUGCAAGUCGAGGGGUAGAAGGAGCUUGCUCCUUUGAGACCGGCGCACGGGUGCGUAACGCGUAUGCAAUCUACCUUUUGCAGAGGGAUAGCCCAGAGUAAAUUUGGAUUAAUACCUCAUAGUAUGUGAGGAUGGCAUCAUUUUCACAUUAAAGUCACAACGGCAAAAGAUGAGCAUGCGUCCCAUUAGCUAGUUGGUAAGGUAACGGCUUACCAAGGCUACGAUGGGUAGGGGUCCUGAGAGGGAGAUCCCCCACACUGGUACUGAGACACGGACCAGACUCCUACGGGAGGCAGCAGUGAGGAAUAUUGGACAAUGGGCGCAAGCCUGAUCCAGCCAUGCCGCGUGCAGGAUGACGGUCCUAUGGAUUGUAAACUGCUUUUGUACAGGAAGAAACACUACUUCGUGAAGUAGCUUGACGGUACUGUAAGAAUAAGGAUCGGCUAACUCCGUG